GAUGAACGCUGGCGGCGUGCCUAAUACAUGCAAGUCGAGCGAACAGACGAGGAGCUUGCUCCUUUGACGUUAGCGGCGGACGGGUGAGUAACACGUGGGUAACCUACCUAUCAGACUGGGAUAACUUCGGGAAACCGGAGCUAAUACCGGAUAAUAUUUCGAACCGCAUGGUUCGAUAGUGAAAGAUGGCUUUGCUAUCACUUAUAGAUGGAUCUGCGCCGUAUGAGCUAGUUGGUAGGGUAACGGCUUACCAAGGCAACGAUACGUAUCCGACCUGAGAGGGUGAUCGGCCACACUAGAACUGAGACACGGUCCAGACUACUACGGGAGGGCGCAGUAGGGAAUCUUCCGCAAUGGGCGAGAGCCUGACGGAGCAACGCCGCGUGAGUGGUAGAGGUCUUCGGAUCGUAAAACUCUGUUAUUAGUGAAGAACAAACGUGUAAGUAACUGUGCACGUCUUGACGGUACCUAAUCAGAAAGCCACGGCUAACUACGUG
RNAcentral lists this ribosomal RNA (497 nucleotides) under uncultured bacterium. RNAcentral describes it as "partial 16S ribosomal RNA". It matches the Rfam family "Bacterial small subunit ribosomal RNA", at positions 28 to 507 of the family's 1533-position model. The record is from RNAcentral.